Molecule: ribosomal RNA, 305 nt
Filed under: uncultured bacterium
Lineage: Bacteria
Description: bacterial SSU rRNA
Rfam family: Bacterial small subunit ribosomal RNA
Source: RNAcentral
CUUGCCCUACGGGGCGCAGCAGUGAGGAAUAUUGGUCAAUGGUCGGGAGGCUGAACCAGCCAAGCCGCGUGAGGGAGGAAGGUACAGAGUAUCGUAAACCUCUUUUGUCAGGGAACAAAGACUGGGACGCGUCCCCGGAUGAGUGUACCUGAAGAAAAAGCAUCGGCUAACUCCGUGCCAGCAGCCGCGGUAAUACGGAGGAUGCGAGCGUUAUCUGGAUUUAUUGGGUUUAAAGGGUGCGCAGGCGGUCUGUUAAGUCAGCGGUCAAAGCCCGGGGCUCAACCCCGGCCCGCCGUUGAAACUGG